This 242-nucleotide ribosomal RNA is filed under the name Cortinarius sp. RNAcentral's name for it is "partial 28S ribosomal RNA". It matches the Rfam family "Eukaryotic large subunit ribosomal RNA", at positions 1 to 236 of the family's 3401-position model. Lineage: Eukaryota; Fungi; Basidiomycota; Agaricomycetes; Agaricales; Cortinariaceae. The record is from RNAcentral.
GUGACCUCAAAUCAGGUAGGACUACCCGCUGAACUUAAGCAUAUCAAUAAGCGGAGGAAAAGAAACUAACAAGGAUUCCCCUAGUAACUGCGAGUGAAGCGGGAAAAGCUCAAAUUUAAAAUCUGGCGGUCUUUCGGCUGUCCGAGUUGUAAUCUAGAGAAGUGCUAUCCGCGCUGGACCAUGUACAAGUCUCCUGGAAUGGAGCAUCACAGAGGGUGAGAAUCCCGUCUUUGACAUGGACU